Molecule: ribosomal RNA, 515 nt
Filed under: uncultured bacterium
Lineage: Bacteria
Description: partial 16S ribosomal RNA
Rfam family: Bacterial small subunit ribosomal RNA
Source: RNAcentral
GAUGAACGCUGGCGGCGUGCCUAAUACAUGCAAGUCGAGCGAAUGGAUUAAGAGCUUGCUCUUAUGAAGUUAGCGGCGGACGGGUGAGUAACACGUGGGUAACCUGCCCAUAAGACUGGGAUAACUCCAGGAAACCGGGGCUAAUACCGGAUAACAUUUUGAACCGCAUGGUUCGAAAUUGAAAGGCGGCUUCGGCUGUCACUUAUGGAUGGACCCGCGUCGCAUUAGCUAGUUGGUGAGGUAACGGCUCACCAAGGCAACGAUGCGUAGCCGACCUGAGAGGGUGGUCGGCCACACUGGGACGGAGACACGGCCAAGACUCCUACGGGAGGCAGCAGUAGGGAAUCUUCCGGAAAGGACGAAAGACUGACGGAGCAACGCCGCGUGAGGGAUGAAGGCUUUCGGGUCGUAAAACUCUGUUGUUAGGGAAGAACAAGUGCUAGUUGAAUAAGCUGGCACCUUGACGGUACCUAACCAGAAAGCCACGGCUAACUACGUGCCAGCCGCCGCAGUAA